UCCCCUCACUCUCCUUUC
Molecule: small nuclear RNA, 18 nt
Filed under: Arabidopsis thaliana (thale cress)
Lineage: Eukaryota; Viridiplantae; Streptophyta; Magnoliopsida; Brassicales; Brassicaceae
Description: snRNA_04424
Source: RNAcentral